CUCAAACUCUACUGAAUCAUGAGGUGACAGUUCAACCUCCAGGUGAGGAUCAAGCUCAUUAUAACUUACCCAACAUUAGAGUUAAACCUGCGGAUGUGGAGGUUACCAUAACUUCAGAGCCUACCAAUGGGACAGAAUCUUCCCAAGCCCAGCAGGAGGCCCCAGUUCAGCCUCCAGAGGAGGUGGAAACUUCUGUAACCCAACAGGAGGCUGCAACUGAGCCUCCAGGUCCUCCUAUGGAGCUUGAACUUUCCCUCAGUGAGCAGCAGCAGCCAGCUCAGCCUUCUGAGUCUUCUGGAAAGGUUGAAUCUUCUCCAGCCCAGCAGGAGACCCCAGCUCAGCCUCCAGAACAUCAUGAAGUCACAGUUUUACCUCCAGGUCACCAUCAAGCUCAGCAUUCAGAUUUGCCCAAUGUCACUGUUAGGCCUCCAGACAUGCAGCUCACCAUAGCAACAGAGCCUAGUGCAGAGGUGGGAACUUCUCCAGUCCACCAGGAGGCUACAGCUCAGCUCUCAGGGCCAAUUAAUGAUGUAGAAAUUUCUGCCACCCAGCAUGGGGGCCCACCUCUGCCUCCAGAGUCAUUGGAAGAGGCUGAGCCUUUAACAGUUCAACAGGAGACUUCAGUUCAAUCUCCAGAACCUAUUAAUAAUGAGAACCCCUCUCCAACCCAGCAGGAGGCUGCAGCUGAGCGUCCAUAGACCCCUAAGGAGGUUGAGUCUUCUCUAAUCCAGUAGGAGGCCCCAGCUCAGACUCCAGAGCUCCCUAAUGAAGUUGUAGCUCAACCUCCAGAGCAUCAUGAGAUCUGUCUUCAGUAUUCAGAAGUAAUUCAACUUUGCCUAAUACCACAGUUAAAAAUGUGGAUAUGGAGCUUACCAUACCUGCAGCGUCACUAUGGAAGUUGAACCUUCUCCAGUCCAGCAGGACAACCCUUCUAUUCCCACUGAGCAGGCUGACUUUUCUCUAGCCCAGCCUGAUCUCCCUUCCCCACCUCUGCAUUCUCCUGAAAAGGUUAAAUCUCCAGUCCAGCAGGAGGCCACAGCUCAGACUUCAGAUUCCCCUAAGGAGGUAGAACCUUUUCCAGUCCAGCAAGAGUUUCCAGCUGAGCCACCAGAGCCCCCUAAGGAGGUUGAACCAUCUGCAACCCAGCAGGAAGCCUCAGGUCAUCCUCCAAAGUCCACUGAAGAGGUCAGUCCUCCACUGCAGCAGGAGAUACCAGCUCAGCCAUCAGAGCCACCUGAGAAGGUCGAACCAUCUCCAGUCCUAUAGCAGGCCCCAACUCAGCUUUUAGAGCCCCUUAAAGAGGUAGAAUCCUCUCCAGUCCAGCAGGCAGUCCCUGCUCAGUCUUCAGAACCCCCCUAUGGUGAUAGAACCCUCUCUGACCCAGCAGAUGGCCCCAUCUUUGCCUCCAGAGUUCCCUCAGGAGGUAGAACCAUCUCUAACUCAGCAGGA
RNAcentral lists this long non-coding RNA (1449 nucleotides) under Homo sapiens (human). RNAcentral's name for it is "non-protein coding lnc-MPP2-2:2". The record is from RNAcentral. Lineage: Eukaryota; Metazoa; Chordata; Mammalia; Primates; Hominidae.